Molecule: long non-coding RNA, 939 nt
Organism: Brachypodium distachyon (stiff brome)
Lineage: Eukaryota; Viridiplantae; Streptophyta; Magnoliopsida; Poales; Poaceae
Exons: 2
Source: RefSeq, a predicted model, not a curated record
CAGGGGGGCAAUUAUUAGCAAGCUCUUUGAAUGGGAAACUAGUGCUAUGAAGAAAAACGGAAAAUUAUUAGCAUGUAUCUCUGGGCAGAAUUCUGAGCAUCACAACCUGCGAUACAUGAGCAAAACAAUUUCAGAGAAGAUGUGUAGAAGAAAAUUUCUGAUCAUGUUUGAUGAUGUUUGGAGCAAGGACCGGCAUGGCUGGGAGCAAUUUCAGCAAUAUUUUAUCGCCACUGCACCUGGAAGCAAAAUUCUACUAACUACUCGUGAUAGAGAAGUCGCGGAAAUGGUAAAAUCUAAUAAUGUAGUCAAUUUGGAAUUCUUAUCAGAUGGUGACAGCUGGAAGUUGUUUCUACAAGAGUUCUGGAGGGGCUGAGGAAGAGGAAAGUUUGUACUCUGAAUUUGUUGAAGUUGGAAAAGAGAGUGAAGAAAUGUGCUGUGGUGCCCUAAGCGAUUAUUUCUCUGGGCAGUUUCCUCUAUAAAAAGAAAGACAUGAAUGAAUGGUGGGCUUUGAGAGAUAGUAUUUUGCUGAAUGAGGUGGAUACUCGAAGCAAGAUUUUGGAAUCUUUGAGGGCGAGCUAUUUUCAUCUGUCAGAUGAUCUUAAGGAGUGUAUUUUGCUUUGCAGCUUCAUGGAACAGGGUCAUGAUGUGGCCCAUACAGCCCUGCAUGCUGCAUCAAGUCUACAGAACAAAUAUGUUCCUUUCUUUACAUGGUAAACAACCUACACGUGCUUCCUUAACUGAUUUAUAUUUUUGUUAUGGUUAUGCUAUACAAAGCAUGCACUCCUGUAGUGUCAUCUCCUAAUUGAGCAAACUUCAUUGUAAACUGUAAAGUUGUGAUCCUGCCGAAACGAAUGGACAAUCCUGAUGACAAGGGUCUGGAAAGUUCGAUUGAGAUGACUUGCAAGUAUCAUGUAAAUAAACAGAAGACAUUUGUCCAUA